UUUCCAGAGAUGGAUUGGUGCCUUCGGGAACUCUGACACAGGUGCUGCGUGGCUGUCGUCAGCUCGUGUCGUGAGAUGUUGGGUUAAGUCCCGUAACGAGCGCAACCCUUGUCCUUAGUUACCAGCACGUUAUGGUGGGCACUCUAAGGAGACUGCCGGUGACAAACCGGAGGAAGGUGGGGAUGACGUCAAGUCAUCAUGGCCCUUACGGCCUGGGCUACACACGUGCUACAAUGGUCGGUACAAAGGGUUGCCAAGCCGCGAGGUGGAGCUAAUCCCAUAAAACCGAUCGUAGUCCGGAUCGCAGUCUGCAACUCGACUGCGUGAAGUCGGAAUCGCUAGUAAUCGUGAAUCAGAAUGUCACGGUGAAUACGUUCCCGGGCCUU
This 386-nucleotide ribosomal RNA is filed under the name uncultured Pseudomonas sp. RNAcentral describes it as "bacterial SSU rRNA". It matches the Rfam family "Bacterial small subunit ribosomal RNA", at positions 997 to 1382 of the family's 1533-position model. Lineage: Bacteria; Pseudomonadati; Pseudomonadota; Gammaproteobacteria; Pseudomonadales; Pseudomonadaceae. The record is from RNAcentral.